This 1085-nucleotide ribosomal RNA is filed under the name Propionibacteriaceae bacterium H42. RNAcentral's name for it is "bacterial SSU rRNA". It matches the Rfam family "Bacterial small subunit ribosomal RNA", at positions 56 to 1157 of the family's 1533-position model. The record is from RNAcentral. Lineage: Bacteria; Bacillati; Actinomycetota; Actinomycetes; Propionibacteriales; Propionibacteriaceae.
UGCAGUCGACGGUAAGGCCCCUUCGGGGGUACACGAGUGGCGAACGGGUGAGUAACACGUGAGCAACCUGCCUCUGACUUUGGAAUAACAGUUGGAAACAGCUGCUAAUACCGGAUAUGACUUACCUCCGCAUGGGGGUGGGUGGAAAGCUCCGGCGGUCAGGGAUGGGCUCGCGGCCUAUCAGCUAGUUGGUGAGGUAAUGGCUCACCAAGGCUUCGACGGGUAGCCGGCCUGAGAGGGCGACCGGCCACACUGGGACUGAGAUACGGCCCAGACUCCUACGGGAGGCAGCAGUGGGGAAUAUUGCACAAUGGGCGAAAGCCUGAUGCAGCAACGCCGCGUGCGGGAUGACGGCCUUCGGGUUGUAAACCGCUUUCACCCAUGACGAAGCGCAAGUGACGGUAGUGGGAGAAGAAGCACCGGCCAACUACGUGCCAGCAGCCGCGGUGAUACGUAGGGUGCGAGCGUUGUCCGGAAUUAUUGGGCGUAAAGGGCUUGUAGGCGGUCUGUCGCGUCGGAAGUGAAAACUCGAAGCUUAACUUCGAGCCUGCUUCCGAUACGGGCAGACUAGAGGGAUGCAGGGGAGAACGGAAUUCCUGGUGGAGCGGUGGAAUGCGCAGAUAUCAGGAGGAACACCGGUGGCGAAGGCGGUUCUCUGGGCAUUACCUGACGCUGAGAAGCGAAAGCGUGGGGAGCAAACAGGCUUAGAUACCCUGGUAGUCCACGCCGUAAACGGUGGGCACUAGGUGUGGGGGACAUUCCACGUUCUCCGUGCCGAAGCUAACGCAUUAAGUGCCCCGCCUGGGGAGUACGGCCGCAAGGCUAAAACUCAAAGGAAUUGACGGGGGCCCGCACAAGCGGCGGAGCAUGCGGAUUAAUUCGAUGCAACGCGAAGAACCCUUACCUGGGUUUGACAUAUGCCGGAAAACUGCAGAGAUGUAGCCCCCGCGAAGGUCGGUAUACAGGUGGUGCAUGGCUGUCGUCAGCUCGUGUCGUGAGAUGUUGGGUUAAGUCCCGCAACGAGCGCAACCCUCGUUCUAUGUUGCCAGCACGUGAUGGUGGGGACUCAUAGGAGACUGCCGGGG